ACUUGGGGUUGAUUGUUAGCCUGAAAAAAUAAUUAUUAUAUAAUUAUAGUUGGUGAGCCAAGGUUAAAAUCAACUAGGUUGAUAAUGAGUCUGGAAAACUAUCGAUGUUGGAUUGAUAGUGACCUCGAAAAAACUAUCAAUGUAGGAUUGUGGUUGGUAAGCCUGAAAAAAUUCAACUUGAUUUAUUUAUAAGCUUGAAAACAUAAAUACACUAUAAUCAAAAAAUUAUAAUCAAAUUUUUAAGGAG
Molecule: long non-coding RNA, 247 nt
Filed under: Elaeis guineensis (African oil palm)
Lineage: Eukaryota; Viridiplantae; Streptophyta; Magnoliopsida; Arecales; Arecaceae
Description: long non-coding RNA (EGUI_LNC063946)
Source: RNAcentral